Small nuclear RNA from Otolemur garnettii (small-eared galago), 107 nucleotides. The record is from Ensembl. NCBI's taxonomy places the organism in Eukaryota, Metazoa, Chordata, Mammalia, Primates, Galagidae.
GUGCUCACUUCGGCAGCACAUACACUAAAAUUGGAAGGAUACAGAGAAGAUUAGCUUGGCCCCUGCACAAGGAUGACACGCAAAUUUGUGAAGCAUUCCAUAUUUUC